This 431-nucleotide ribosomal RNA is filed under the name uncultured bacterium. RNAcentral's name for it is "bacterial SSU rRNA". It matches the Rfam family "Bacterial small subunit ribosomal RNA", at positions 900 to 1332 of the family's 1533-position model. The record is from RNAcentral.
CUCAAAGGAAUUGACGGGGACCCGCACAAGCGGUGGAUGAUGUGGAUUAAUUCGAUGCAACGCGAAGAACCUUACCUGGUCUUGACAUGUACGGAACCCUCCAGAGACGGAGGAGNGCCUUCGGGAGCCGUAACACAGGUGCUGCAUGGCNGUCGUCAGCUCGUGUCGUGAGAUGUUGGGUUAAGUCCCGCAACGAGCGCAACCCUUGUCAUUAGUUGCCAUCANUAAGUUGGGCACUNUAAUGAGACUGCCGGUGACAAGCCGGAGGAAGGUGGGGAUGACGUCAAGUCCUCAUGGCCCUUAUGACCAGGGCUUCACACGUCAUACAAUGGUCGGUACAGAGGGUAGCCAAGCCGCGAGGCGGAGCCAAUCUCACAAAACCGAUCGUAGUCCGGAUUGCACUCUGCAACUCGAGUGCAUGAAGUCGGAAU